RNAcentral lists this ribosomal RNA (601 nucleotides) under Veluticeps nakasoneae. RNAcentral's name for it is "eukaryotic LSU rRNA". The stretch from base 200 to 353 matches the Rfam family "5.8S ribosomal RNA". Lineage: Eukaryota; Fungi; Basidiomycota; Agaricomycetes; Gloeophyllales; Gloeophyllaceae. The record is from RNAcentral.
CCGUAGCGACUGCGGAGGACAUUAACGAGUAAACAAGGGGAGUAGUUGCUGGCCUUAAGGCAUGUGCACGCUCUCUGCUCAGUCUACCUUACACCUGUGCAUCUCUGUAGGCUAAAGUGGAGUUACAUCUACUUUUGUCUAUGUUUUCAUACACACAUGUAGUUGUCAGAAUGUCUUUUGCGGAAAACGCAUCUAUAACAACUUUCAACAACGGAUCUCUUGGCUCUCGCAUCGAUGAAGAACGCAGCGAAAUGCGAUAAGUAAUGUGAAUUGCAGAAUUCAGUGAAUCAUCGAAUCUUUGAACGCACCUUGCGCUCCUUGGUAUUCCGAGGAGCAUGCCUGUUUGAGUGUCAUGAUGUUCUCAACUCACUUGGCUUUCUUGGCCAUGUAAGCUUGGAAUUGGGGGUUUGCUGGCUGUUGCGGUUGGCUCCCCUCUAAAUGCAUUAGCUGGAUCCACAGCAUGAUCAGUGUUUGGUGUGAUAAUUUGUCUACGCCGUCGCUGUGAUGCGUCUAUAUGGGUCUGCUUCCAACUGUCCCUGGACAAUACAUGACUUUUUGACCUCAAAUCAGGUAGGAUUACCCGCUGAACUUAAGCAUAUAA